UACGUAGGGUGCAAGCGUUGUCCGGAAUUAUUGGGCGGAAAGAGCUCGUAGGCGGUCUGUCACGUCGGCUGUGAAAACUCGGGGCUCAACCCCGAGCCUGCAGUCGAUACGGGCAGACUAGAGUCCGGCAGGGGAGACUGGAAUUCUCGGUGUAGCAGUGAAAUGCGUAGAUAUCGAGAGGAACACCAGUGGCGAAGGCGAGUCUCUGGACGACUCCUGACACUGAGGCACGAAAGCUAGGGGAGCAAACAGG
Molecule: ribosomal RNA, 253 nt
Filed under: uncultured bacterium
Lineage: Bacteria
Description: partial 16S ribosomal RNA
Rfam family: Bacterial small subunit ribosomal RNA
Source: RNAcentral